CCAGACUCCUACGGGAGGCAGCAGUGGGGAAUAUUGCACAAUGGGGGGAACCCUGAUGCAGCGACGCCGCGUGGGUGAAGGAGUACUUCGGUACGUAAAGCCCUAUCAGCAGGAAGGAAAAUGACGGUACCUGACUAAGAAGCCCCGGCUGACUACGUGCCAGCAGCCGCGGUAAUACGUAGGGGGCAAGCGUUAUCCGGAUUUACUGGGUGUAAAGGGAGCGUAGACGGCAUGGCAAGCCAGAUGUGAAAUACCGGGGCUCAACCCCGGGACUGCAUUUGGAACUGUUAAGCUGGAGUGUCGGAGAGGCAGGCGGAAUUCCUAGUGUAGCGGUGAAAUGCGUAGAUAUUAGGAGGAACACCAGUGGCGAAGGCGGCCUGCUGGACUGCAACUGACGUUGAGGCUCGAAGGCGUGGGGAGCAAACAGGAUUAGAUACCCGUGUA
This 444-nucleotide ribosomal RNA is filed under the name uncultured bacterium. Its description in RNAcentral is "bacterial SSU rRNA". It matches the Rfam family "Bacterial small subunit ribosomal RNA", at positions 331 to 792 of the family's 1533-position model. The record is from RNAcentral.